GAUGAACGCUGGCGGCGUGCCUAAUACAUGCAAGUCGAGCGAACAGACGAGGAGCUUGCUCCUCUGACGUUAGCGGCGGACGGGUGAGUAACACGUGGAUAACCUACCUAUAAGACUGGGAUAACUUCGGGAAACCGGAGCUAAUACCGGAUAAUAUAUUGAACCGCAUGGUUCAAUAGUGAAAGACGGUUUUGCUGUCACUUAUAGAUGGAUCCGCGCCGCAUUAGCUAGUUGGUAAGGUAACGGCUUACCAAGGCAACGAUGCGUAGCCGACCUGAGAGGGUGAUCGGCCACACUGGAACGGAGACCCGGUCCAGACUCCUACGGGAGGCAGCAGUAGGGAAUCUUCCGCAAUGGGCGAAAGCCUGACGGAGCAACGCGGCGUGAGUGAGGAAGGUCUUCGGAUCGUAAAACUCUGUUAUUAGGGAAGAACAAAUGUGUAAGUAACUAUGCACGUCUUGACGGUACCUAAUCAGAAAGCCACGGUUAACUACGU
RNAcentral lists this ribosomal RNA (496 nucleotides) under uncultured bacterium. RNAcentral's name for it is "partial 16S ribosomal RNA". It matches the Rfam family "Bacterial small subunit ribosomal RNA", at positions 28 to 506 of the family's 1533-position model. The record is from RNAcentral.